UCCCACAUAUGCCAUAUUUUACUAGUAUCAACACCUAUCACAAUUUACAAGCAUAAUCCCAAAAUUUAUAAUUAAAUUUUUUUAAUUUAGUGAGUUUAGCAAUAGCACCUCCAUCUGCAAAAGGAAAAAGAAAGAAAAGUAAGGAAAAUUCUAUUGAUGACAUGGCAGCAACAGAUGCCAAGUGCAUCAAACGGCAUCGAAACAAACCGUAGAAGAGCCCAACCCCAAGAAAAACCCCAAAUCUCAUCUUUUUGAUCCAAAAACCUUAAAAGACAGUAAAAGGGGCAUCUAGGAUAAGAAUUUCAUGGCAAAUUUUGAUGCCAGAGCUCUCCUCAAAGACAAGAAGUUCUGGUUUGCUUCUUUCCUCAUUGCUUGGGCUGCUGCUCUCCAGGGGCAUAUGAUGUGGAUGCAAAGGCAGGACUCUUUCAAGCAAAAAUUUGGUACACUAAACGAAUUCAAUGAUGAUGAACAAGAAAACUUGUCCCAAAGUUGAGCCUGUUUCUUUUGAUCAAGAAUCAACAAAAUGGGGUUUUUUUUUUUCUUUUAAGUAGAGAGAAUAUGAAGUUCAAGAAGAUUUGGUAUGGUGGGCAUAUUCAAAUCUAUGAGGCAUCUCUGAUUCAAUGCUUGGCAGCUAGUUAGGUAAGUAUUGUCAACUGGUUCAGAUUUUCUUCUUGACAAAAACGUGAAGUCAUGAAUGAUAUCUAAAGAACAAUGGAUGAUGAAAACCGUGGACAUUCUUAUCUAGUUAUCUUUGCUGAUCUGGUGGCCUCUUAGUUCCUAUGCCACGUGCAUCUGAAUAUUGUGGAACCAGUACAAAGCUGCGCUUAGGAGUUGCAUGAAUGAAAGUGGUAAGGUCAGAAUCUAGUGCCAAAUCCUAAAAGAGAGAGAAAAAAUGGUUAGGCACUUUAUGUAAAUAUGUUUCGAGCAUUGGUUGCAUGCUACUAAUUAAAGCUGUAGCAGUGACAUAAGUGCCAGAAUGGAUGUCUACUUUUCCUUCUAGAUUACAAGAUGAGUGUCUUUGCUUACUUCUGUACUGAUAUGUAAUUUUCAAUCUUUUGGUGGAGAUUAUCACUGGUUUGGUGGAGAUUAUCUCAGGGUUUAUCGUUGUUGAGCUGAUGUGAUCGUUGAGAUUAAAAAUGAAAGCUGCUCUGAAAUUCCUUGGUGCAUAUUUAACAUGAAUUAUUCAAAAUGAAUGUCUUUCACAGUUUUCGGUUGGGGCAGCACCCAAUAGUAUCUGGAAAUCAAGAAACUAUUGCAUUUUUAACUAGCUAAAUGACAUGUUCUUUCCCUGUUUCAUAGCAGAGCAAUUUUCAGGAUGCCCUCGUUCCACCCAAAUCACUUCCUCAUCUCUAUUACUGCUUAACAUCAUAUUCUGAAGAGUUUGAGUACUGAGGAAUGCAUGCGCCAUGACCAGAUAGGGAAGAUGGUAUACCUUGGUGACGAGAUUAAGGCUUAUUUAGCUAUUGCUUUUGGACCUUAAACAUGCAGCUUACGUAUUCAGCAGCAGUCACAAAAG
This is an RNA transcript of Theobroma umbraticum, 1516 nucleotides long. It is a transcript of the gene named hexose transporter, with no coding region annotated. Lineage: Eukaryota; Viridiplantae; Streptophyta; Magnoliopsida; Malvales; Malvaceae. The record is from RefSeq and is a predicted model, not a curated record.